Molecule: non-coding RNA, 66 nt
Organism: Mesocricetus auratus (golden hamster)
Lineage: Eukaryota; Metazoa; Chordata; Mammalia; Rodentia; Cricetidae
Source: Rfam
GUAUCCAUGAUGACAACAAGUCUCUAAGGAUGGUGAUCGACUCGUAACUAUUCCAAUCUGAGCUCC